AAAAUUUGUUUUUAUUUUUUGAAACAAUCCAUUUUAUGAAAUCUCAAACUCAACUGAACUUCGUCUCUUUGUCUUCAAACUAUGUGCGGCCUUCAAACCAUCUAUCAAAAGUGUUUGCUUCCUUAAACUGAAUGUUAAAUUUUUUUAAAAUCUUAUCUUUUCACUGUGGAGAAAAAGAGGGAGGGAAAAGGGAGGCGAAACCAACCCAAUUCUUUUCCGUAAACUCAUUCAUUCACUGGAACGUACAUCCGUAAAUUCAUUCAAGUGUUUAUUAUUAUUUUCUUUUUUUCAUUUGUCUUUGUUUUUCUGACAUUUUUCUCUACCAUUUUCUUCUGUGCAUCCGCCAGUUGCUUGGUUCCUAAGCACCACCUAUCAUGUGAAUAUUUUCUCACACACACAGUACAAUUCCUUCUCUGUUAUCUUGGCUGCUUUAUCUGUGUAACAUGGUUUACCAUUCACACGGAGGGUUAGUUUUAUACGUUUACUCAUGUGAGUAAGAAUUUUUCCAUUGGUCCAUUACACAUUUGCAGCCUGGCUUAGAAGAUGCCUUGUUGAUUUGAGAACAUUGCUUUGUCUCAUGCAAUUUAAAAACAUUAAACGUUGUUUCUUCUAUUAAACUUUUUUUUUCCUUGGUUUAUCCUCCAUCUGUCACCCUUCUAUGGUACGAUCGUGGGUGCAUGCUCUGCAUGAGCAUUCUAGCCUCUCGCCUCACCUUGAAAUCUCUUUAAACACUUCACUUUAACUGUAUAUCCCGAGUUGAUCUCAAAUCUACUAUUGGUAAUUUCAUAUGCCAAUGCAAUUCCCAACCCGUUAGCUGACCAACACCCGAACAAACCCGCUCCGUCUAGCGUCCCAGGCUCAAAAUUUUUUGGCUCAAGGACCUCUAGGUUUACGAGUGCCGCAUCAGUAAUUGAAAUGCACAAAAUUCGCUUUCCAAAUUGGCAUACCUCCUUUGCCCAUUCUCUCCAUUUUUUCUUCAUCUCGUCUUUCUCUCUCUUGAGCAGGUGACACGUUACCCACAUGGAGGAUGCCCCGGCUCGGUUACGUGGACUCGUUCAAGACCCCUGACGCUUCCGAGCGAUGGUUGUCUGGGGCACGAGGUCAGGAAAUAACGCACUCCGGGAGAUGAGAGCGGUACAUUACGGUAGGGUAUUAUAUACUACGAACAAAAUCGUUAUUUAUGACAUCACAGGACAGUCAUUGCCGAGUUUGAGUAUGGGAUCAUGAAGAAAACAUAACGUAGCAUGUGCUUACGCUUCAUCCGUCCCCCAAACACACAACAAGGG
This is a non-coding RNA of Schizosaccharomyces pombe (fission yeast), 1286 nucleotides long. NCBI's taxonomy places the organism in Eukaryota, Fungi, Ascomycota, Schizosaccharomycetes, Schizosaccharomycetales, Schizosaccharomycetaceae. The record is from the annotation of a GenBank genome assembly.